This 792-nucleotide long non-coding RNA is filed under the name Selaginella moellendorffii. Its description in RNAcentral is "long non-coding RNA (SMOE_LNC001062)". Lineage: Eukaryota; Viridiplantae; Streptophyta; Lycopodiopsida; Selaginellales; Selaginellaceae. The record is from RNAcentral.
UCUAGCUCCUCACGAGGAUAAGAUCAGAGUUCCUGGAAAGGAAGUACCAAAAAAAAAAAAGGACUGAACACUGUGUCUCGAUCUUACAGGUCGGGAAAGAUGGAAAUGCGACGAUGUUGAGAGAUGCACUACAGACCUCUGGGGUUCGCCUCGACUAUCUCAACACAGUCUCGGGGCCAACAGGUCAUGCCAUCGUCAUGCUCCAGCCGAAUGGACUAAACUCCAUCGUCAUUGUUGGAGGCGCGAACACUGCGUGGAAGAAGCGGACGGGAUCGUCGAGCAUUCCCGUCCAGGCCGAGGAAACCAUUCGAAAAGCCGGCGCUCUUCUCCUGCAGAGAGAAAUCCCAGACGAUGUCAACAUCGAAGCCGCAAAGGUACUCAAAGUUGAAUUUUUACCGAGUUUCUCUUCUUUGUUCUUCGUUGCGAAGCUCGCUCAUACUUCGGUUGCCUUUUUCGGAUUGCAAGAGAAGCGGACAUUCCCGUCAUCAUGGACGCAGGAGGCUUCGAUUCGCCCAUUCCGGAAGAACUUCUCAAGUAUAUCACGGUUUUGAGUCCAAACGAGACGGAGCUUGCUCGUCUCACGAGCAUGCCGACGGAGACAACGCAGGAAGUCGUCCGUGCUGCAAACAAAUGCCUCGACAUGGUAAUAAAAGAGAGAGCGAGAGAGAAAAAGGAAAAGAUCAAACUAAGAAACAAACCUUUGUGACAGGGAGUGAAACAAGUUCUGGUGAAGCGAGGAGUUCAAGGCUCUAUGCUUGCAAAAGCUGACGAGAGUCCCAUUCUCCAACCAGC